GGCUGAAACUGAGGGAUUGACGGAAGGGCACACCAGGGGUGGAGCCUGUGGCUUUAUUUGAAUCCAACACGGGGAAACUUACCAGGACCAGAUGUUUUUUAUGACUGACAGGCUUCGGGUCUUUCAGGAUAUUGUUUUUGGUGGUGCAUGGCCGUUGGUGGUGCGUGGGUUGACCUGUCUAGCGUUGAUUCAGCUAACGAGCGAGAUUAUCGCCAAUUAUUUACUUUGCCGAAGUCCUUCGGUUAAAGUUCUAAUUGGGACUCCCUGCGAUUUUAGCAGGUGGAAGAGGGUAGCAAUAACAGGUCCGUGAUGCCCUUUAGAUGCUCUGGGCUGCACGCGUGCUACAAUGUUAGGAUCAAUAGGACUGCGAGCCUGAGAGGGUGCGCUACUCUUAUAAUCCCUAACGUAGUUGGGAUUGACGUUUGUAAUCAGCGUCAUGAACCAGGAAUCCCUUGUAAAUGUGUGUCAACAACGCACGUUGAAUACGUCCCUGCCCUUUGUACACACCGCCCGUCGCUCCUACCGAUUGGAUGACUCGGUGAAAUCACCGGAUGCUUACGAGCAGAAAGUGAUUAAAUCACGUUAUCUAGAGGAAGGAGAAGUCGUAACAAGGUAACGGUAGGUGAACCUGCCGUUGGAUCAGUU
Molecule: non-coding RNA, 645 nt
Filed under: Trichomonas vaginalis G3
Lineage: Eukaryota; Parabasalia; Trichomonadida; Trichomonadidae
Description: Eukaryotic small subunit ribosomal RNA
Rfam family: Eukaryotic small subunit ribosomal RNA
Source: Rfam by way of RNAcentral